GAUGAACGCUGGCGGCGUGCUUAACACAUGCAAGUCGAACGAGAAAUGUAGACGGAAACCUUCGGGCGGAAGCCUUCAUUUCGAGUGGCGGACGGGGGAGUAACGCGUGGGUAACCUGCCUCAUACAGGGGGAUAACAGUUGGAAACGACUGUUAAUACCGCAUAAGACCACAGCAUCGCAUGAUGCGGGGGUAAAAACUCCGGUGGUAUGAGAUGGACCCGCGUUCGAUUAGCCAGUUGGCGGGGUAACGGCCCACCAAAGCGACGAUCGAUAGCCGAUCUGAGAGGAUGACCGGCCACAUUGGGACUGAGACACGGCCCAAACUCCUACGGGAGGCAGCAGUGGGGAAUAUUGCACAAUGGGGGAAACCCUGAUGCAGCGACGCCGCGUGAGUGAAGAAGUACUUCGGUAUGUAAAGCUCUAUCAGCAGGGAAGAAAAUGACGGUACCUGAGUAAGAAGCCCCGGCUAACUACGUG
RNAcentral lists this ribosomal RNA (478 nucleotides) under uncultured bacterium. RNAcentral's name for it is "partial 16S ribosomal RNA". It matches the Rfam family "Bacterial small subunit ribosomal RNA", at positions 28 to 507 of the family's 1533-position model. The record is from RNAcentral.